AUCAGCUUGUUGGUGGGGUAAUGGCCUACCAAGGCGACGACGGGUAGCCGGCCUGAGAGGGCGACCGGCCACACUGGGACUGAGACACGGCCCAGACUCCUACGGGAGGCAGCAGUGGGGAAUAUUGCACAAUGGGCGCAAGCCUGAUGCAGCGACGCCGCGUGAGGGAUGACGGCCUUCGGGUUGUAAACCUCUUUCAGCAGGGACGAAGCGCAAGUGACGGUACCUGCAGAAGAAGCACCGGCCAACUACGUGCCAGCAGCCGCGGUAAUACGUAGGGUGCAAGCGUUGUCCGGAAUUACUGGGCGUAAAGAGCUCGUAGGCGGUUUGUCGCGUCGUCUGUGAAAACCAGCAGCUCAACUGUUGGCUUGCAGGCGAUACGGGCAGACUUGAGUAUUUCAGGGGAGACUGGAAUUCCUGGUGUAGCGGUGAAAUGCGCAGAUAUCAGGAGGAACACCGGUGGCGAAGGCGGGUCUCUGGG
This 481-nucleotide ribosomal RNA is filed under the name Rhodococcoides corynebacterioides. Its description in RNAcentral is "bacterial SSU rRNA". It matches the Rfam family "Bacterial small subunit ribosomal RNA", at positions 240 to 733 of the family's 1533-position model. Lineage: Bacteria; Bacillati; Actinomycetota; Actinomycetes; Mycobacteriales; Nocardiaceae. The record is from RNAcentral.